RNAcentral lists this ribosomal RNA (497 nucleotides) under uncultured bacterium. RNAcentral's name for it is "partial 16S ribosomal RNA". It matches the Rfam family "Bacterial small subunit ribosomal RNA", at positions 28 to 507 of the family's 1533-position model. The record is from RNAcentral.
GAUGAACGCUGGCGGCGUGCCUAAUACAUGCAAGUCGAGCGAACGGACGAGAAGCUUGCUUCUCUGAUGUUAGCGGCGGACGGGUGAGUAACACGUGGAUAACCUACCUAUAAGACUGGGAUAACUUCGGGAAACCGGAGCUAAUACCGGAUGAUAUUUUGAACCGCAUGGUUCAAAAGUGAAAGACGGUCUUGCUGUCACUUAUAGAUGGAUCCGCGCUGCAUUAGCUAGUUGGUAAGGUAAUGGCUUACCAAGGCAACGAUGAAUAGCCGACCUGAGAGGGUGAUCGGCCACACUGGAACUGAGACACGGUCCAGACUCCUACGGGAGGCAGCAGUAGGGAAUCUUCCGCAAUGGGCGAAAGCCUGACGGAGCAACGCCGCGUGAGUGAUGAAGGUCUUCGGAUCGUAAAACUCUGUUAUUAGGGAAGAACAUAUGUGUAAGUAACUGUGCACAUCUUGACGGUACCUAAUCAGAAAGCCACGGCUAACUACGUG